UGCCCCAUGGCUGAGUUGGUUACAGCGUCCGACUGUUAUCCUCUGGGUUGUCAUCGGAAGGUCGUGAGUUCGAGCCUCACUGGGGCAG
Molecule: non-coding RNA, 88 nt
Organism: Lenzites betulinus
Lineage: Eukaryota; Fungi; Basidiomycota; Agaricomycetes; Polyporales; Polyporaceae
Source: the annotation of a GenBank genome assembly